CGCCGCGGUCGACGCCUAUGCGCCAGGACUGCGGGGAUAAGCAGGUACUGGGGGUAAGCGUUGAGAAACCUGCAACGGCGGCGAAGCAAGCACCGUGACGUGAAAGGCUUGCGGGU
RNAcentral lists this non-coding RNA (116 nucleotides) under unclassified sequences. RNAcentral's name for it is "Betaproteobacteria-1 RNA". It matches the Rfam family "Betaproteobacteria-1 RNA". The record is from Rfam by way of RNAcentral.